RNAcentral lists this long non-coding RNA (1756 nucleotides) under Varroa destructor (honeybee mite). RNAcentral describes it as "uncharacterized LOC111253295, transcript variant X1". Lineage: Eukaryota; Metazoa; Arthropoda; Arachnida; Mesostigmata; Varroidae. The record is from RNAcentral.
ACUUCAUCACCUUCUUACAAUUAGGAAAAUCAUUUAGAAAUUACUAUAGAGAAUCGGUUUAUUUUGAAAAUUUUAGUAUAGUAUUUAUAUUCGUUACUGUAAAUCAUACUUGAGGAGUGUUUUAAUCUUGUUCUUGUGAUAUUGUUCAUAAGGGACCAUACUUGUAUAUAUAUCUUGUUUGGGUGGUAGCACUUGUUUGGGUUCACAAGAUCCACGGGUUUUUGGUUAAUUCGAAAGGCUUUAACCUGUGUUCUAACCUUCUGAACAGAAUAGCAAACAAACGGUCUGACUUUGAUAGAUAUCACUGAAUAUGUUUAGCUUUCUUAAAAAGUUGUCGUAAUCGGCCACUGCCUUUCGAAUAUACGUGGUUUCACCUAACCGAUCACAUGUUAAGUGCUGUUCAUAAAAAGGUUUACCAAUUUCACAUAGUUCUCGCAACGUGAACAAGAGUCUGACAGCUGUAAGUCGACCAUUAUGGCGAUCUUUUACAGGUCACAUAUUUAGACAAGGCCCCUUCAUUUCAAGCGGCCAGAAGGAUACUCAUAUUCGACAUAAUACCCGACCUUAGAGUUGCCUUUCAAGGAACUUCAUGAAGUCCUCCAUGUUGUUUUCUAGCUCCGAUUCGAUUUUGUCACCAGCGGUAAGUUCUUCGAUCCGACGCUCGACGUAUUCGAGCUGGCUCAGAUUCUAGUCAUAUAUUGUCACCAUCAAAUCUUCGAGUAAAUAGUGACGCCACUGAAUCCCCAUGCUCUCGAGGCACGCCAGGCAUGUGCCGCGAAAUCGACGCUUCUGUCUCACUCGUUCGGCCUUAAGAUUUCCGAUGCGUGUUGCCAUCUCGUUGUAGCAGCGAACCAUUUCUCACCUUUAUUCUGCCUAUUUAUUAAAAGCUUGUCGAAGACAUUGAACUUCUAUUGCCUCAGGCCUUGCCGAAAGCUGUCAAGUCAGCUAGUUUGCUCGCCAUGUUAACUUUCAGAUCACAUAUGCGCUCAUCAGGAACCUUGCGUGUCACUUCGGUCGAUUUGGCAUUUUGAGUCGUGAUUUUGACACACAAAGCAGGACCCUCAGAGACGGCCGUAAAGGGUGAGGAAUAUCGGGUCGAUGCACGUUCUAGAAGCGAUGGCUGCUGAUGCGCUCUCGUGGCUGACGAAAUCUUCUCGACAAUCGUGUGAUAUCAAGUUUUGGCAAAACGAUUAAGCGUAAACAAAUAUCUGGCGCGUUUUGUUUCAUACUACUAUUUUCACUCAUCUUCGGCGGCUACUUAGCGGCCUGCGAGGAGGAACUUGUCAUGUGGCGCGAAUGUUCACGUCUCUUGUGAAUAGAUAUAUCAGUAUUAGAUUAACAACAAAGAAGUUACCUAUGUGCGAAUCGAACGCACCCUAUAACCGGACAUCCUUCGACAGCGUAACAAACAAAAGAAAUCUGUCAGGAUCUGUCUAUACGGACCGGAACACUCUCGUCCGAGAAGUCGAUUGCGUAAAAGCAACGCUUUAGAUAAAAAAAAAAAAAGAAACUUCAGUUAAUAUCUCGACGUUAGACGCAAUAGCCACCCCUCAUUCAAACAAGCGCCGCCUGACCCCAAGCGCAGAUCUCUGCAGGGACUCGAUUUCGGAAUCAUGGUUCGCUACUUUAGACACUUCUGGUUUCAGGAAACACAGGGUCGUAUCGACACUCUCAGAAAUAAACUGCUCCAAGCUCACACAGAAGAAAUGGAUUCGCGACGACGGCAGGCGGAGCUUAUCGAAGAUAUCGAGUAUAA